UACGUAGGGGGCGAGCGUUGUCCGGAUUCAUUGGGCGUAAAGAGCUCGUAGGCGGUUCGGCAAGUCGGGUGUGAAAACUCCAGGCUCAACCUGGAGACGCCACCCGAUACUGCUGUGACUCGAGUCCGGUAGGGGACCACGGAAUUCCUGGUGUAGCGGUGAAAUGCGCAGAUAUCAGGAGGAACACCGGUGGCGAAGGCGGUGGUCUGGGCCGGCACUGACGCUGAGGAGCGAAAGCGUGGGGAGCGAACAGG
This 254-nucleotide ribosomal RNA is filed under the name uncultured bacterium. Its description in RNAcentral is "partial 16S ribosomal RNA". It matches the Rfam family "Bacterial small subunit ribosomal RNA", at positions 524 to 776 of the family's 1533-position model. The record is from RNAcentral.